This is an RNA transcript of Pangasianodon hypophthalmus (striped catfish), 5071 nucleotides long. RefSeq lists it as uncharacterized. Lineage: Eukaryota; Metazoa; Chordata; Actinopteri; Siluriformes; Pangasiidae. The transcript is spliced from 9 exons. The record is from RefSeq and is a predicted model, not a curated record.
CAGACUGAGAAAAAACGCAACUUUAAAAAAAAACCCUGUAAAAGACUGAUGCAGGCUGUUACAGAUCACUAGCUGUGAGAGUGAAGUGCGCAUGCGAGAAUCGAAUAUGAAAGUGUAAAAGGUGAAGCUUCAGCGGCACGGAGCGGAGUGGAGCAAACUGAGUUUUCAACCUUCACACGCUACAGCUGAACUGUCACUUCCACUCGUCUUUGUGGUUUCAUAAAAAGUUUUAACAUGCUGAAGAGCAAUCUCACUGGCAUGACAUAUCCGCACAGCUUCAUUCAAGGACAGGAAUAGAAGCCACCACACCACAGCUUGACUUCUGCUUCGUAAGCCACACACCCCACUGAGAGAGCGCUACCAUGGUGGGUGAUUAUCCUGAUAGUGUUUGGGCUGCUGCUUGUUGUGCUGCUUGUGAUAAUCUGGUACCAGAGGAAACAAGUUCAUUGCUGCCAAAGAGAUGAACUUGUACAGAGGAGCAGCAGUGGAGCAGGAAGACAUCAGAGCUGGAAUGGUACCUCAGCAACGACUAACCUACGAGAGAACCAAAUGAUGAUGGAGCAGGAGGAGAACCGAAUGAUGUUGGAGCAGGAGGAGAACCGAAUGAUGUUGGAGCAAGAGGAGAACCGAAUGAUGCUGGAGCAGGGGGAGAACCUGAAGCUCAAACAUAAGAAUGGAGUAACAGAGGGAAGAGACUUAUAACUUCAUACAGCAUGUUUGGAUUAUUUUCUGUUUUGCAUCGUUGUUUCUGCUCUGACUUUCUUCAGAAGUGCUCAGGUUUGUGAACCCUGCAAGCUCAUGUUUUUCCCACCUGUCUGUUGUGAUUCCUCUCCCUGUGAGCUGCUCCAUGUCAGUCUGAGCUGCUCAGUAACUUUCCCACUAGCUGGGACUGAUCAGUGUUUACUGGGUGUGUCCUCAUACACACGUGUUCACUAGCUGGGACUGAUCAGUGUUUACUGGGUGUGUCCUCACACACACGUGUGAGUCUAGGAAUUGGUGGUACAGCCGGUGGUGUCAUAGAGGAGAUCCACAUCUGCUCCCUGCAGACUCUCCACUGGUGUCCCACAAGGCUCAGUACUUGAUCCUCUCCUGUUCUCCCUCUAUACUCAAUCUCUUGGUGCGGUCAUAUCCUCACAUGGGUUUUCAUACCACUGCUACUGCCACUCAACUCCUCCUCUCCUUCCCUCCCUCAGACAAACAAAUGCAGAAAAACACAAAUAAACUUGUAUGUUUUUAUUUUGGGAAAUAAUUUUUGCUGGGGCUUUUUACUAGGAACAUCAGAAAAUAUUUAAAACAUUUAUCCUUUUAUUUAAUGUUAUACUUUACUCUGUCUUUAUUCAAAUGUAGAUUAAGUCUGCAGCUGCUUCAUUAUUGCAUCUGUAAAAGAAGCAGAAGACCUCCACUGUGGUUUCAGCACUGGCACUUUGGACCUGCUGAGUUUUAUUAAAGCCAACACAAGAUUUCAGACUGUGAUGUUAUUUCACCUGUGCUGUGAGAUCACAUCUGAUAUAAACCCAGACUGGCCAGAUUUCACUCAGUUCAAUUUUAUUUAUAUAGUGAUUUUUAACGAUGGACAUUGUGCUAAAGCAGCUUUACAGAAAUGCAGGUCUGGUUUUAGAUCCUUAAUGAACAAGCCAGAGGAGACAGUGGUGAAGGAAAACCCCCUGAGACAACAUGAGGAAGAAACCUUGAGAGGAACCAGACUCUAAAAGUAAGCCAUCCUCUGUUGGGAGACAGAUGAUCUGAUCAGUGAUCAGCACAUUCACUGGUAAAACCUCGUGUCCAGGGGCAGGGCUAGUGCACAGGAAGAGUGUUGAAGUGGAAUUGUGCAUCUACACUGGGACAGAGUCACUCUGAAACAGCACAGCUUUAAAACACCAGCAGCUGGUUGCAGCUGUAGACCAUAAGCUCCAUCACAGCUUAGUGUGAACGUAAACGACUGCUACGUUUGAGUUCACCAACUACUAAAAAAAUUACAGUCCCAGCAAGUACAGUAGCAUACCUAAAAACUUACACCUGCCCGCUAGUAAUGCAGCGUCUGCCCUAAACAAAACUACUCACUAACUCUGUUCAGUGUAAAAAGUGCAGGUUUACUGACUAUAAAUACAGUGUUUUAUUUUGUAAGGAGUGUAAUGAUGUCUUUAUGGGGAGAUAUUUUUGUGCUCUCUGAUCACCAGUCAUGGCCAUCUCACUGAAACACACUAUAAUCGUAACGGAUGAGAGGAUAAACAACAAACAGACUAUUUUUAUAAUCAGGAGCCGUAACGAGCUCUGAAGUGACAAUGCAAAAUAUCACGGGUCAGAUUGGAGUUUAUUGGUAAGGAACAUCAAAAACCCUGCUUUCGCUUGGAGAUCACGAGUUUAAGUCCCCACAAUGCCACAGCCAUUCGUGGCCAAGAGUACAAGAGGGCUAAACUGGCUGUGCUCUCUGGGUGCAAAUAAUAAGCCAUAAAGAAAGAGAAUAUUUAUAUGGAACAAGAAGUGAUGAAGAAGUGAUAUUAAUAUCUGAAAGGAAUAAACUGUAUGACUGGCAGCUGAAGUCACUGGAGUCUGAACCACACAGAUCAUUACACAUCAGGAGUAACGGUACCGACGCGCACCACGCAGGACUAUACGGGAGUAACGGUACCGACGCGCACCACGCGGGACUAUACGGGAGUAACGGUACCGACGCACACCACGCAGGACUAUACAGGAGUAACGGUACCGAUGCGCACCACGCAGGACUAUACAGGAGUAAGGGUACCGACGUGCACCACGCGGGACUAUACGGCAAUAACGGUACCGACGCGCACCACACGGGACUAUAGAGGUGUAAGGGUACCGACACGGAACACGCGGGACUAUACGGGAGUAAGGGUACCGACGCACACCACGGGGGACUAUACGGGAGUAAGGGUACCGACACACACCACGCAGGACUAUACGGGAGUAACGGUACCGACGCGCACCACGCGGGACUAUACCGGAGUAAGGGUACCGACGCGCACCACGCAGGACUAUACAGGAAUAACGGUACCGACACACACUCUUGCUGCAGGACUAUACGGGAGUAACGGUACCGACACACACCACGCGGGACUAUACAGGAGUAAGGGUACCGACGCGCACCACGCAGGACUAUACGGGAGUAACGGUACCGAAGCGCACCACGCGGGACUAUACAGGAGUAAGGGUAUACACUAUACACUAUACAAUGACACGCUCUCUCACGUGCAUUCAGCCCAAACCACUGGCCUGCUUCAAGGGCGACUGCACUGUCUGGAUGUAGGAGACUGCUACAGGUGGAAGAUUGCUUCAGGUGUCAUCAUGCAGGUUCAGCAGCAGGUUCUUGUUCGGCAGAUGUUUGUUUUGUCUCCUUUGCUCUGAAGUUUGAAGAAAACACAAAGAGAAGGGAAAUAGGACAUUACUCCAUUGUCACCUGAAGAACAGGAGCAAGAGACACAGUCUCGCACUGAUACUUUUCAAGCAGCGCCGCCGGUGUCCUGUGCAUCAUUCCAGUGCUGUCACGUCACUUGACAACAGAACGAACGACGGGAGUAACGGUACCGACAUGCAGCACGCAGGAGGAGCUUCAGCAUACAGGAGGAACUUCAGCACGCAGGAGGAGCUUCAGCAUACAGGAGGAACUUCGGCACGCAGGAGGAGCUUCGGCACGCAGGAGGACCGAGUGUUUAACCUUCACACGGGAUUCCCUCGUUGCGUUGUUGUUUGUAAGGAGUUUCCGGCGAUGUUGACUGGUCGGCGGUCUGGUUGGCGUUAUGUAGCGUCUCGAAAGACCAAUGAGGAAGAUAAACAGAGUGAGGCGUGAACCCGGCGGAGUCUCGUAGGCGGGUUGCUAAACUUUGAAGAACCCUAACCCUGGUUCACAGCGGUGAGAAGGCGAGAGUUGGAGGCUUUGCAGGACCCAGUCUGGAUGCGGAGUCUCGGAGCAAGCGUGAUGUCCUCGUGAUCUCCUCGUGAUGACAAGGGGUAAGAACUUCUAAAGCUCUUGGUUGAUGAGACUUCCUUCAGAUGUGGAUGGAGACUCACUUGAGCUGCUUCAUUCACUUGAGAAUGCUCUGAUUUUUACCGAGACCUGGCUCUCAGAGAAAGUACCGGAAUCCUCUGUUCAGCUACAGUCUCACUCCUUACACCGAGGAGGUGUGUGUGUGUUUAUCAACAACUCGUGGUGUGGAGACAUACAGACUGUUUAUAAGCACUGCUCGCCAGAUGUGGAGUUUUUAUUGCUGAAAUGCCGUCCCUAUUAUCUACCAAGGGAAUUCACCGCUGUGUUUGUAGCCGCUGUUUACUGCUCCUGACACUGCGAGUAAUCUCACUGCUCCUCCUGACGCACAACAUGAGGACUCAACUUCUUAGAUCGACCCUUGCGAGGGCUGUUCUGAGUGGAACCCAUCUUGGAAAACCUCUGUAUGACUCUGGCCACUGUACUGUAACUCAGUUUCAGGGUGUUACCGAUCUUCUUAUAGCCUAGGCCAUCUUUGUGGAGAGCAACAAUUCUAAUUCUCAAAUCCUCAGAGAGUUCUUUGGCAUGAGGCGCCAUGUUCAACAUGCAGUGGUCAGUAUGAGAGAAUUGUACUCAAAGCACCAAAUUUUAACUGCUCCAAUACAAGAUACACAAAUUUGUAUGGUCCUGUCAAGGAGACAAAAACAUGAACAUGAUGAAUAGGACAUGUGGCUUUGCAUGGUUAAACGACGUACAGCCGUUAUCACUCAGGGUGUACUCACUUAUGUUGCCAGCUAUUUUGACAAUAAUGGCUGUAUGUUAAGUCAUUUUUACAUGACAAUAAAUCUAUACUGCUAUACAAGCAGCACAUUGACUACUCUAAAAUAUAUCCAAAUUUCAUUUCUAUAGUAUUGUCCCUUGAGAAGAUAUACUAAAAUGGUUGCUGAAAUGUGAGGGGUGUACUCAAUUUUGUGAGAUCUUUAAACUUCAAUCGAUAUUGCCAUUUUUUAGCCUGUAUACUCACAGAUACUAUGAAUUGUUGUGUGUUUGUUUUGUUACUGAUCUAUUUAAAAUAAUCGUUUUGUAGAAAGUUAAGGUGCUUUGGGUGUGUAGCAGCUUGCUGUG